UACGAAGGGGGCUAGCGUUGCUCGGAAUGACUGGGCGUAAAGGGCGCGUAGGCGGUUUGGACAGUCAGAUGUGAAAUUCCUGGGCUCAACCUGGGGGGCUGCAUUUGAUACGUUCGGACUAGAGUGGGGGAAGAGGGUCGUGGAAUUCCCAGUGUAGAGGUGAAAUUCGUAGAUAUUGGGAAGAACACCGGUGGCGAAGGCGGCGACCUGGUCCGUGACUGACGCUGAGGCGCGAAAGCGUGGGGAGCAAACAGG
Molecule: ribosomal RNA, 255 nt
Filed under: uncultured bacterium
Lineage: Bacteria
Description: partial 16S ribosomal RNA
Rfam family: Bacterial small subunit ribosomal RNA
Source: RNAcentral